This 1468-nucleotide ribosomal RNA is filed under the name uncultured Bordetella sp. RNAcentral describes it as "partial 16S-23S ribosomal RNA intergenic spacer". It matches the Rfam family "Bacterial small subunit ribosomal RNA". The record is from RNAcentral. Lineage: Bacteria; Pseudomonadati; Pseudomonadota; Betaproteobacteria; Burkholderiales; Alcaligenaceae.
GAGUUCAAUUAUAAACCAGAUGAACGCUGGCGGGAUGCUUUACACAUGCAAGUCGAACGGCAGCACGGACUUCGGUCUGGUGGCGAGUGAGCAGGUGAAAGUAAUGUAUCGGAACGUGCCUAGUAGCGGGGGAUAACUGCGCGAAAGCGUAGCUAAUACCGCAUCCGCCCUUCGGGGAGAAAGCGGGGGACCUUCGGGCCUCGCACUAUUAGAGCGGCCGAUAUCGGAUUAGCUAGUUGGUGGGGUAACGGCUCACCAGAAGCGUGAUCCGCCAGCUGGUUUGAAGGACGACCAACCCCGCAAGGACGGACACGGCCCAGACUCCUACGGGAGGCAGCAGUGAGGAAUUUUGGACAAUGGAAACCUGAUCCCAAUGUCCACGUGUGCGAUGAAGGCCUUCGGGUUGUAAAGCACUUUUGGCAAGAAAGAAACGGCACGGGAUAAUACCCCGUGCAACUGACGUUACCUGCAGAAUAACACCAGCCUAACUACGUGCCUUCAGCCGCGGUAAUACGUAGGGUGCAAGCGUUAAUCGGAAUUACCGGGCGUAAAGCGUGCGCAGGCGGUUCGGAAAGAAAGAUGUGAAAUCCCAGGCUGCUUUGGAACUGCAUUUUAACUACAGACAAGUGUGUCAGUGGAAUUCCGCGUGUAGCAGUGAAAUGCGUAGAUAUGCGGAGGAACACCGAUGAAGGCAGCCUCCUGGGGUGCUGCGACGCUCAUGCACGAAAGCGUGGGGGAGCAAACAGGAUCCGAUGCCCUGGUAGUCCACGCCUAAACGAUAUCAACUAGCUGUUACAGGCCUUCGGGCCUUGGUAGCGCAACUAACGCGUGAAGUUGACCGCCUGGGAAAUUGCAGUCGCAAGAUUAAAACUCAAAGGAAUUGACGGGGACCCGCACAAGCGGUGGAUGAUGUGGAUUAAUUCGAUGCAACGCGAAAAAGAAGAAAAGUACUUACCUACCCUUGACAUGUCUGGAAUCCCGAAGAGAUUUGGGAGUGCUCGCAAGAGAACCGGAACACGGGUGCUGCAUGGCUGUCGUCAGCUCGUGUCGUGAGAUGUUGGGUUAAGUCCCGCAACGAGCGCAACCCUUGUCAUUAGUUGCUACGAAGGGCACUCUAAUGAGACUGCCGGUGACAAACCGGAGGAAGGUGGGGAUGACGUCAAGUCCUCAUGGCCCUUAUGGGUAGGGCUUCACACGUCAUACAAUGGUCGGGACAGAGGUCGCCAGCCGCGAGGGCAAUCCCAGAAACCCGAUCGUAGUCCGGAUAUGAUCUGCAACUCGACUGCGUGAAGUCGGAAUCGCUAGUAAUCGCGGAUCAGCAUGUCGCGGGUGAAUACGUUCCCGGGUCUUGUACACACCGCCCGUCACACCAUGGGAGUGGGUUUUACCAGAAGUAGUUAGCCUAACCGUAAGGAGGGCGAUUACCACGGUAGGAUUCAUGACUGGGGUGGAAGUCGUAACAAGGUAG